RNAcentral lists this ribosomal RNA (359 nucleotides) under uncultured Alphaproteobacteria bacterium. RNAcentral describes it as "bacterial SSU rRNA". It matches the Rfam family "Bacterial small subunit ribosomal RNA", at positions 9 to 399 of the family's 1533-position model. Lineage: Bacteria; Pseudomonadati; Pseudomonadota; Alphaproteobacteria. The record is from RNAcentral.
GAGUUUGAUCCUGGCUCAGAGUGAACGCUGGCGGUAGGCCUAACACAUGCAAGUCGAACGCACUCUUCGGAGUGAGUGGCAGACGGGUGAGUAACGCGUGGGAACCUUCCUUGUAGUACGGAAUAACUCCGGGAAACCGGUGCUAAUACCGUAUAAGCCCUCCGGGGGAAAGAUUUAUCGCUACAAGAUGGGCCCGCGUUGGAUUAGCUAGUUGGUAGGGUAAUGGCCUACCAAGGCUACGAUCCAUAGCUGGUCUGAGAGGAUGAUCAGCCACACUGGGACUGAGACACGGCCAGACUCCUACGGGAGCAGCAGUAGGAAUCUUAGGACAAUGGGCAAAGCCUGAUCCAGCCAUGCCG